Physcomitrium patens is the source of this 1407-nucleotide non-coding RNA. Lineage: Eukaryota; Viridiplantae; Streptophyta; Bryopsida; Funariales; Funariaceae. The record is from RefSeq and is a predicted model, not a curated record.
CAGUUCCUGAUCGUUCUUUUAACCUUUCGUGUGUUGUCACUGAGCAUUCUCCGCAUAAUGAAACCUGUUUGUGGCUCAGUCAAGAGAUCCUUGUUGUGGCGCUUGGGUUUUUUUAGACACCUGACAAAGUGUAAAUGCUUUUGAGGAAAAUGACAGAGUCAUGGAAGGACCGGAGUCAACGUGGGUUUUCUACAAGGGUUGUGACAAAUAACAGUGUGCUAAUCAUUCAUGGCUUUAACAGUGUGUUUGUUCCAAGUUUUCCAUGCCUGUGACUCAGUUAUUCUUUAAUGACCUGUGAUGACAAGAUUUACUAUUGCAUUCAGAGAGAUAUCGACGUACAAAGAUGUUCUUCGUUCACAGGUGCAACAGUCGUGCUACGGUGACCGUUUCUAGGUAGAUAAUUUUGUAUAUUCAGUCUGUUUGACGUCCUGUACGAAAAUUCGAUGAUUUAAAAGAUAGCUCUGAACUUGGAUUUACAGCAGAUCUUUAUUAUAUUUGAAUUUUCUGCAUAGCGAAUUCGCUUUAAUUAAAAUACUGAGUCGUAAAAUCCCAGUAACUCAUACAUAUACAUAUAUAUAUAUAUAUGGGGGAGCCAAGUUUUUGUGGCCUUCAGUGUAAUGUGAGAAAUUGAUGGACACUCGUAGGUGGAGCAUGUAUUGAAUGGCCGUUUGAUGCGGUCUGCGGGUACCGAUCUUAUCGACAAUGGACUAAGAAACUUGAUUCUUAGUAUCGCAACUUCGUUGUCGCCGUCAAUGAGAAGCUUUCUGGAAUCGGCUAGUGUCGAUGCAAUUUAUGAAUGUUUAAGUUCUAGUCUAUUUUUCAUUUUGAAAAGUGGCUGAUUGUAAAGGUUGGUGCGUAGCUUUACACUGAGCACAUCGUGGUCUCUGUUAAUUCGAUGCAUCAAAUCGUGUGCACAUUUCUGUUGUGUCAUCAGAGAGUGGAAGGAUUUACAGGAUGUAACUCAGUUCAGUCCUAUUUCUUGUCAUUUGCAGCACUAAGCUUGCAAGAAUGACUUCCUGUAGUCAUAGUUAUCUUGUAUUAUCAGCAGCAAAGGGUUAAGAACUGGCAGUCAGCUUAAUGGGUUAUUAUGCAAUUCUGUAACCCUUUAUGCAGUUAUUAAACCUCUGCAACUGAGCUCGUAACCCUAUAUUGAGCAGCUGCGAGAAAAAAUUGUCUUUGAAGGGGAUUUCAAAGUCAGAGAUCGUGGUGGACAUUGAGAAGGUAUUAUCUCCCAUGGUAAUUUUGGGUGUUAAUGUUUCGGGAUGAGUAGUUGCUACAUAUAUACAAGUGCAGUUGCAAAGUUCCUGAUUUUUUAGAAACAGAUCCUGACGACUUUUUCAAACCAUCUGAUUCGAUGGUCAACCAAUUAUCAGUUAUAAAUGUACACUACUUUUUUCUUCAAAUGUA